GGGGGAUAAGCGGAAGAAAUUCCGUCUAAUACCGCGUAAUAACUCCGAGGGGCAUCUCUUGGGGUUUAAAGGGUAACACCGGCUACGGAUGGCCAUGCGGCGCAUUAGCUAGUUGGCGGGGUAACGGCCCACCAAGGCGACGAUGCGUAGGGGUUCUGAGAGGAAGGUCCCCCACACUGGUACUGAGACACGGACCAGACUCCUACGGGAGGCAGCAGUGAGGAAUAUUGGUCAAUGGGCGCGAGCCUGAACCAGCCAAGUCGCGUGAGGGAAGACGGUCCUAUGGAUUGUAAACCUCUUUUGUCGGGGAGCAAAAGACGCCACGCGUGGCGUUCCGAGAGUACCCGAAGAAAAAGCAUCGGCUAACUCCGUGCCAGCAGCCGCGGUAAUACGGAGGAUGCGAGCGUUAUCCGGAUUUAUUGGGUUUAAAGGGUGCGCAGGCGGAAGAUCAAGUCAGCGGUAAAAUUGAGAGGCUCAACCUCUUCGAGCCGUUGAAACUGGUUUUCUUGAGUGAGCGAGAAGUAUGCGGAAUGCGUGGUGUAGCGGUGAAAUGCAUAGAUAUCACGCAGAACUCCGAUUGCGAAGGCAGCAUACCGGCGCUCAACUGACGCUCAUGCACGAAAGUGUGGGUAUCGAACAGGAUUAGAUACCCUGGUAGUCCACACAGUAAAC
This 672-nucleotide ribosomal RNA is filed under the name uncultured bacterium. RNAcentral's name for it is "bacterial SSU rRNA". It matches the Rfam family "Bacterial small subunit ribosomal RNA", at positions 138 to 807 of the family's 1533-position model. The record is from RNAcentral.